Non-coding RNA from Hemiscyllium ocellatum (epaulette shark), 82 nucleotides. The record is from the annotation of a RefSeq genome assembly. NCBI's taxonomy places the organism in Eukaryota, Metazoa, Chordata, Chondrichthyes, Orectolobiformes, Hemiscylliidae.
GUAGUUGUGGCCGAGUGGUUAAGGCGAUGGAUUAGAACUCCAUUGGCAUUUCCCGGCGUUGGGUCGAAUCCUGCCGACUACG